AAAAGGUCAUUUUAUAAAUAUAAAGCAGUAUUAGAGCUCAAAUUUUAGCGGAAGAGAAGCAUAGUUGAAAUUUGAAAAGAUCUACCAAGUUUUCUUUCUAGUCUAAAAUAUCACAUUCUAAAUAAAGACCUUAAUGAUGUUUGAUGAUGUCUAUAAUCUAUUGUUUGGACUCUGGAUUAUAGUAUCUCUUUCUCUUUCAUUCAAAUUUGUUAAUGAUAAAAAAUGACUAACAACUUGUUUGUAUACCAGGCGGAACAUGUUGGUAUACUAUUUUAUCUACUAGUACCAUACUACUCUGAUAUAUUAUUGAAACCGAUAUCGGACUGAGAUUGAAAAUAUUAUUUUUGGUGUGUAUUUUGUUUAUUUCAAUUUGUUUACAAGAGUAGUUCUGAUUCAUUUUUAUGGGCAUUAACUUUAUUUCUGGUAACAUCUGAAAUUUUACUACAAGACAACUACAUAGUUUGCCAACAUGGCAACCAAUUUUAGUGACUAAGACUUUUAGUUAAAAGCAAGGGCUUUUCAAUUUUAGUUAUUUUAGGUUACAUGAAUGAACAAACAGUGUACUCUUUUUUUCCAAAAGUGGACAAAUUUAAAUAUGUAAGAUGAUAUGCUAGACAUUGUUUGUAAAAAAUGAACUAACAAAAUGAAAGAAUACAGGAAGAACUCGCAAGACUCUGAACGUUUACAUCUUUGGGCAAUGUGUCAUUAGAACCAGAAGCUCAGUUUAAACACAUACUUUACCUUCAUUUGAAUUAGUGAAUUGGUCCCCCCUCUCUGUCUUUGUUAAGCCUUCUGAAUUUUUUAAUGAAAUAUUGCAAACUUGUUUAAAGAGUUCAAUUAUUCCAAGAAUUACUUCAAUGCAUUUCUGAUUUUAGUAAGAUGUGUCAUAAUUUCUGUAGAAAGCAGUUAUUCAACCUAAGAGAACUAUAAACCACAGUAUAUAUCAUAAUAGUAAAGAGAUACCAAACAAAUAAAUCUAUGAGCUUGAUAAAGGUGAGGCAUUGUAAUUCUGUUUAUUAUGUUUUUCCCUGUGAAAUGAAUAAAAAUAUCAAAUUUACAUGUCUUUCCAUGAAUAGACUAGGUCUUCUGCAACAUAGAUACACUUCUGAUCCUAAGAUAGGGCUAGAAAAAUGGUGCCAAAUGGGAUAUAAUGCAGGUUCUAAAUUUUGGAAGUUAGCUUACUAGAUCAAUAGUUCACAAAUGCUUCAUUAUGGUGAUAGUGGAGUAGUUCGGGUCCUUCCGAUUAAUAGGAUCUUCAUUGAAUCUGAAGGUUCUGAUUUGUGAUUGUUUCAGUCUAUGGGAUUUAUCUUGUUGAAUCAGUUGUAGCUGUAGAAGAGUAGAAGCAAUGUUCAUGAGCUUGAUAGACAAGCUUGUUAUGUUUCAUAUAAAUGUUCACCAAUUAAUGACAUGGCUACUAUUUCAGUAUUUUUUCAAUUCUGCUGUUGUGGUCAUUUACCACAAGUUUCAACAUCCAAGCACUAUAACUGAAAUUUGCCUUUUGUAAGUAUAACACCGACCUUUGAGUUGGUAUUUCUUGUUUCCAACUUCCCUAUUUGUUUAUUGAGAUUAAGGUAGCAGCAGCGGUUGUGAUUAUUUAUUGCGAUUCCAGUAAUAUCACAUGUGGUACCAAGUUUGAAUUUGACAUGAUAAUUCCGAUUGAAUUAUUUAAGUGAUCAUUUUUUUAGUAAUCUAUUGAUGAUCUUGUUGGAUGUAAUUGAGAAACAAAAUGAAUAUUGGGUAAGCAUUUGAAGUUUCCAUCACCAAAGUUACCAUCCCUUCCAACACCUCUACCUCUGUGCCUCUUGCCACCGUCAUG
RNAcentral lists this long non-coding RNA (1816 nucleotides) under Musa acuminata (dwarf banana). Its description in RNAcentral is "long non-coding RNA (MACU_LNC011458)". Lineage: Eukaryota; Viridiplantae; Streptophyta; Magnoliopsida; Zingiberales; Musaceae. The record is from RNAcentral.